UCUUCCCUCUGGCGGCGUGCCUAAUACAUGCAAGUCGAGCGAACGGACGAGAAGCUUGCUUUUCUGAUGUUAGCGGCGGAUGGGUGAGUAACACGUGGAUAACCUACCUAUAAGACUGGGAUAACUUCGGGAAACCGGAGCUAAUACCGGAUAAUAUUUUGAACCGCAUGGUUCAAAAGUGAAAGACGGUCUUGCUGUCACUUAUAGAUGGAUCCGCGCUGCAUUAGCUAGUUGGUAAGGUAACGGCUUACCAAGGCAACGAUGCAUAGCCGACCUGAGAGGGUGAUCGGCCACACUGGAACUGAGACACGGUCCAGACUCCUACGGGAGGCAGCAGUAGGGAAUCUUCCGCAAUGGGCGAAAGCCUGACGGAGCAACGCCGCGUGAGUGAUGAAGGUCUUCGGAUCGUAAAACUCUGUUAUUAGGGAAGAACAUAUGUGUAAGUAACUGUGCACAUCUUGACGGUACCUAAUCAGAAAGCCACGGCUAACUACGUG
Molecule: ribosomal RNA, 497 nt
Filed under: uncultured bacterium
Lineage: Bacteria
Description: partial 16S ribosomal RNA
Rfam family: Bacterial small subunit ribosomal RNA
Source: RNAcentral